GACGAACGCUGGCGGCGUGCUUAACACAUGCAAGUCGAACGGAAAGGCCCUGCGUUUGUUGGGUGCUCGAUUGGCGAACGGGUGAGUAACACGUGAGUAACCUGCCCUUGACUUUGGGGUAACUUCAGGGAACUGGGGCGCAUACCGGGUAGGAUCUCCUGCUGCAUGUUGGUGGUUGGUGAGUUCCGGCGGUUGUGGCUGGACGCGCGGCUUAUCAGCUUGUUGGUGGGGUAGGGGCUUACCAAGGCUUUGACGGGUAGCCCGCCUGAGAGGGUUGCCGGCCACCAUGGUCCUGCGAUAGGGACCAGAAUGCAACCGGCGGCAGCAGUCGGGAAUAUUGCGGAACGGGCCGACGCCUGAUGCAGAAACGCCGCGUGCGGGAUACCGGGCUUCGGGUUGAAAACAGAUUUGGCAUGAACCGAAGACUGAGUGACGGUAACGAGUAAAGAAGCAACGGCUAACUACGUG
Molecule: ribosomal RNA, 468 nt
Filed under: uncultured bacterium
Lineage: Bacteria
Description: partial 16S ribosomal RNA
Rfam family: Bacterial small subunit ribosomal RNA
Source: RNAcentral